GGACGGGGAGCACUACGAACGGGUGGAGCCUGUCGGUUUAAUUGGAUUCAACGCCGGAAAUCUCGACCCGGGGGCGACAGACAAUAUGAAGGUCAGGCUGAAGACCUUACCCGAUUAGCUGAGAGGUGGUGCAUGGCCGUCGUCAGUUCGUACUGUGAAGCAUCCUGUUAAGUCAGGCAACGAGCGAGACCCACGUCCACAGUUGCCAGCAUACCCUCUGGGGUGAUGGGUACACUGUGGAGACCGCCGCUGCUAAAGCGGAGGAAGGAGUGGGCAACGGUAGGUCAGUAUGCCCCGAAUCUCCCGGGCUACACGCGGGCUACAAUGGUUGGUACAAUGGGCAUCUACCCCGAAAGGGGAAGGAAAUCUCUUAAAGCCAAUCGUAGUUCGGAUUGAGGGCUGCAACUCGCCCUCAUGAAGCUGGAAUCCGUAGUAAUCGCGUUUCAACAGAACGCGGUGAAUACGUCCCUGCUCCUU
Molecule: ribosomal RNA, 477 nt
Filed under: uncultured Methanosaeta sp.
Lineage: Archaea; Methanobacteriati; Methanobacteriota; Methanomicrobia; Methanotrichales; Methanotrichaceae
Description: bacterial SSU rRNA
Rfam family: Archaeal small subunit ribosomal RNA
Source: RNAcentral